Molecule: long non-coding RNA, 1974 nt
Filed under: Homo sapiens (human)
Lineage: Eukaryota; Metazoa; Chordata; Mammalia; Primates; Hominidae
Description: HSALNT0230306
Source: RNAcentral
CCAGCCCCAGCCUCGCCAAUCCAGCUGCCCCAGGCUGGAGGAGAUCCUGUCAAGCCUCCUCUCUGAAACUCCACUCCUCCUCUUUUUUUUCUUCCUCAACCACUGGCAUACUUUUGGUCAUCCUACUUUUCAUCCCAAUGGGGCACCUGAUACCAUAAAGACCUGGGAACCCCACUGAUCACAGGUCCUACAGGGGUCAGGCAAACAUACAGGAAGUCCAGAAGGACAGUCAUCUGCCACCUCCAGUAUGAGAAGAACAAAACCCCCGCACUCCAUGAAGAAGUCAGGAACCCAGUGAAGGCUGCAGGUCCAGCCCACAACAACCUAUGUAUGUGGGGUGCUCCAUGGCUCAUACGUGUGUCCUGCAGGCUGGAGCCCAAGCGAGGGUUCGCAGUCUUUGUUCCAGAUGGGGAACUACUACUUCAGCUUAUUACCCAGGCUCCCUGAUGGGGAAAGGAAGGAAAUGGCGAGAAUCUUCAGCACAGCAAAUCCCAUCGUCCUGGCAGAGACAACUCCUGCCUGCAUGCCACACCAGCAGCCGCAGGCUAGAGGCAGUCACAUCAGGCCUCCCUCUUACAACAUUUUGUUUUGUUUUGUUUUUCGAAAGGCCCUAAUCACCUACUUUCGGUCAUCCUCCUUGUCACAAUAGGGCACCUGACGCCAUAGAGACUCGAGAAAUGUACAGAUCUGGGGUCCUGAAGCGUCCAGGCGAAGGUGCUGGGAGUCAGGGAGGAAAGUCCUUUGAAGCCUCCAGAAGCAAUGUAACAAGACCCAGCACUGCAGGAAGAAGUGGGGCACCCAGUGGCAAAUGCAGGCCUACGUGCAAGGUGCUCCCUGUCCCUCGCCUGCUCCCUGGAACCUGGAGCCGCACCUAGGAUGGGGGGUCUCCAUUCCAGACCCAGAAUAAGCUCUUGGCUACCUCACCCAGCACCUGGUCAUGCCAGACAGAAUCUUGGCUGGGGCUUUCUCAUGGUCUGCAGUGCCUUCCACUUUGGGCCACCGUAAUAACACUUCUCCCACAGGGACUCUGCAGUGUCCGGCUCACCAGCCUGGAGUUUCUCAUCACCCAGUGAUUCCAAAAGAAACAAUCUACAAUGGCAUGACCAAGUGCCAGAAACAAACAAACAAAAUAUCUGAGGAGCUGUCAGAAUCCUGCCCUUCCGUCUCCAGAUCAAAGUCCUUCAGGAAAUGCAACUACUUCAGUGACAAGAGAUAAUUAUCAUCUUCUGACAGAGGAGGAAUUUGGGGUUUGGUCCCAGUCCAUGAAGUGGCACAGUCAGAAUAAAAGGUGAGAGCUUAGGAGAUUAGCGGAGGGUAGAAGAACACUCUGUCUUGUGACCAGCUUCAGAGAGCCUGGGGCCAUGGCUUCCUGGUCAACAUUAGGCCCUGCUGCAUGGUGACCCCUGGGCAGGCAGUGGGAAGCCUGAGGUGUGGCUCCUGGUGGCCUCACAACUGCCACUCUUUCCUGAAGCUCCUAUUUGUUCUGUCAGCUAAGCCCCCAUCCCAGUAGGCCAGCAACACACUCAAGACCAAGAACAGGCCAUGGUGAAUCUCAGGGCCACUGAGUGCCUGGGCUGGCAGGGGCAGAGUUCCUCAGGGCUCAGUGACAUUUGGACUGAGCAUGGGCUUUGGAGUCAUACAGCUACACUGAGCUCCCAGCUUCACCGUGAUCAGCCCUGUGUCUGGGACAGGGGCCUCACUGUUCUGGAACUUGAGACGCCAUAGUCAUAAAUUUAACACACACUUCUAACUGCUUUUUCUUUUUUAUCUGUCUUUCUCUAUAAUCACCAUGUACUACUGGUCUCUUGUGUUUAUUUAAAUUAAUAAACAUGUUACACAGUGUGUAUUAUUCUUCCUCAUGAGUUCUUUACUAUAUUCUAUGAUUCCACCCAUAUGAGGUACUUAUGUAAUUUCAUUCAUAGAAACUCAAAGUAGAAAAGCAGUUAGUUCUUAGAGGACAAAAGGAAGGUAAAG